This 520-nucleotide ribosomal RNA is filed under the name uncultured bacterium. Its description in RNAcentral is "bacterial SSU rRNA". It matches the Rfam family "Bacterial small subunit ribosomal RNA", at positions 120 to 674 of the family's 1533-position model. The record is from RNAcentral.
GGGAACAUACCCUUUUCUACGGAAUAGCUCUGGGAAACUGGAAUUAAUACCGUAUACGCCCUACGGGGGAAAGAUUUAUCGGGGAAGGAUUGGCCCGCGUCUGAUUAGCUAGUUGGUGAGGUUAUGGCUCACCAAGGCGACGAUCAGUAGCUGGUCUGAGAGGAUGAUCAGCCACACUGGGACUGAGACACGGCCCAGACUCCUACGGGAGGCAGCAGUGGGGAAUAUUGGACAAUGGGGGCAACCCUGAUCCAGCCAUGCCGCGUGAGUGAUGACGGCCUUAGGGUUGUAAAGCUCUUUUCUCCGGGACGAUAAUGACGGUACCGGAGGAAUAAGCCCCGGCUAACUUCGUGCCAGCAGCCGCGGUAAUACGAAGGGGGCUAGCGUUGCUCGGAAUCACUGGGCGUAAAGGGCGCGUAGGCGGCUGAUUUAGUCGAGGGUGAAAGCCCGUGGCUCAACCACGGAAUGGCCUUCGAUACUGGUUGGCUUGAGACCGGAAGAGGACAGCGGAACUGCGAGU